This 73-nucleotide transfer RNA is filed under the name Pangasianodon hypophthalmus (striped catfish). It matches the Rfam family "tRNA". Rfam says of the family: Transfer RNA (tRNA) molecules are approximately 80 nucleotides in length. Their secondary structure includes four short double-helical elements and three loops (D, anti-codon, and T loops). Further hydrogen bonds mediate the characteristic L-shaped molecular structure. tRNAs have two regions of fundamental functional importance: the anti-codon, which is responsible for specific mRNA codon recognition, and the 3' end, to which the tRNAs corresponding amino acid is attached (by aminoacyl-tRNA synthetases). tRNAs cope with the degeneracy of the genetic code in two manners: having more than one tRNA (with a specific anti-codon) for a particular amino acid; and 'wobble' base-pairing, i.e. permitting non-standard base-pairing at the 3rd anti-codon position. Lineage: Eukaryota; Metazoa; Chordata; Actinopteri; Siluriformes; Pangasiidae. The record is from Rfam by way of RNAcentral.
GCCAGGAUCGCUCAGUCGGUAGAGCCUCAGACUUUUAAUCUGAGGGUCCAGGGUUCAAAUCCCUGUUUGGGUG